UCAUAAAGGGCCAAGAAAUUACAUCAUCAUAGAUCAAGUGGGGUUCCUGUGAAGAUACCCUGAAAAAAGUGACUUCAUUUUGCGAACAAUCUUCCAGGAAUCAACUCAGAUGAUAAUCUUUUAAACACAUCCAAAUCAAGCUUACCUAUGUCUUUGGCCCGUGAAGCUAAAGGUCGCCUCCACUGGGUGACAAACUUGUGCUGCAGCCUCACCCCAGACACCGUCAGAGAAAAUGUAUGUAAUGCAAGAGCACCUUCCCUGGUUCCACACUCCCUGGGCUGCUAAUAGCUCAUUUACCACUUCCCCCCUCAAUUCCUUUUCUACAGAUGACUCAAAAUGCUUCCCGGGGGCAUAUCUGGGAAGGUAGUGGAGAAAGAAAGAAAAUCUGAUUUAAAUGUCAAUUUCAGAACAAGGCUCUACUGCCUUUGAAGAAAAAACAAUGGGCUCUUAAGGGGUUUUAUCUUAACAACUUAACACUUGGUGUUCCAGAGACUCCUAGGUCAUCAAGUCGGAUUGGUGAAUUCCCAGAUGUCCCAACCUCAAUCAAGGAGCCACUGAUACAGUCCACCAAGGGGGUAGCUACCUCUUCUGUGGACAGAAAGUUCUAUUUUGAGCAAGGGAUCAUAAUGGUGGGUUGCAGUGAGAUUAAAAGAGAUACACAAAGAGGCUAGCUGUGUAUCUGGAACACAGAAGGGUCAAUAACUGGUCUAUUAUUAUCAAUACAAAUAUUUGAUUUUUUUCCCAUUCUGGACAAGUUAUAUAUGGGAUCACACAAUUUUCUCUAACUUCAUAGAGUAAUAUGAUCGACAUUAAUAAAAUUAUG
This is a long non-coding RNA of Talpa occidentalis (Iberian mole), 823 nucleotides long. RefSeq lists it as uncharacterized. Lineage: Eukaryota; Metazoa; Chordata; Mammalia; Eulipotyphla; Talpidae. The transcript has 4 exons. The record is from RefSeq and is a predicted model, not a curated record.